This 27-nucleotide non-coding RNA is filed under the name Rattus norvegicus (Norway rat). Lineage: Eukaryota; Metazoa; Chordata; Mammalia; Rodentia; Muridae. The record is from RNAcentral.
UGGUCCUGGCAUCUCCGACAUCCUGCA